CAGACAUACACACACACACAGACCUACUGACAUACAUUUAGCCACCCUCCAGGUUCUUACCUUUUCCUGGAGGGUGGUUUCCCUGGUCCAGUGGCAGGCUGAGGCAGAUGGGAGUUCUCUUCUUGAACUCCCCUCCUCCCUGCCUUCCUCCUCCCGCGCGGCUAUCUCCGGUGGGAGGAAGUGACGUCACUUCCUCCCAGCCGGCUGCAGAACCGGAAGAGGGGCCCGGUCGAGCUGUUUAAGCGCCACAGCGCCCGACCGGGCCCCUCCUGACACAUGCUCCCCGGGUGGCCCUUAGUGCAUGGGCCACCCGGGGAGCCUCCUCAGUGUGCGGGAGCCGCAAAUCGCGGGGCCCACAGAGCAGCUGCUCUGGGCCCCCAUGAACAACUGGGCCCGGGGCAGCUGCCCCGUUUGCCCCGCGUUAAAGACGGCCCUGACCGUGAACAUUC
Non-coding RNA from Pelobates cultripes (western spadefoot toad), 449 nucleotides. The record is from the annotation of a GenBank genome assembly. Lineage: Eukaryota; Metazoa; Chordata; Amphibia; Anura; Pelobatidae.